Molecule: transfer RNA, 65 nt
Filed under: Histeroidea sp. 2 KM-2017
Lineage: Eukaryota; Metazoa; Arthropoda; Insecta; Coleoptera
Description: tRNA-Asn
Source: RNAcentral
UUAUUCGAAACCAAAGCAGAGGUAAAUCAUUGUUAAUGAUUGUAGUGGGUUCUUCCCCGAUUAAG